This 472-nucleotide ribosomal RNA is filed under the name uncultured bacterium. RNAcentral's name for it is "bacterial SSU rRNA". It matches the Rfam family "Bacterial small subunit ribosomal RNA", at positions 328 to 793 of the family's 1533-position model. The record is from RNAcentral.
CUCUGUGACUCCUACGGGAGGCAGCAGUGGGGAAUAUUGCACAAUGGGGGAAACCCUGAUGCAGCCAUGCCGCGUGUGUGAAGAAGGCCUUCGGGUUGUAAAGCACUUUCAGUAGGGAGGAAGGUAGUGUAGUUAACACCUGCAUUAUUUGACGUUACCUACAGAAGAAGCACCGGCUAACUCCGUGCCAGCAGCCGCGGUAAUACGGAGGGUGCGAGCGUUAAUCGGAAUUACUGGGCGUAAAGCGCAUGCAGGCGGCCUGUUAAGUCAGAUGUGAAAGCCCGGGGCUUAACCUCGGAAUUGCAUUUGAAACUGGCAGGCUAGAGUCUUGUAGAGGGGGUAGAAUUUCAGGUGUAGCGAUGAAAUGCGUAGAGAUCUGAAGGAAUACCAGUGGCGAAGGCGGCCCCCUGGACAAAGACUGACGCUCAGAUGCGAAAGCGUGGGGAGCAAACAGGAUUAGAUACCCUGGUAG